RNAcentral lists this long non-coding RNA (1021 nucleotides) under Capra hircus (goat). RNAcentral describes it as "lncRNA (ENSCHIG00000000544.1)". Lineage: Eukaryota; Metazoa; Chordata; Mammalia; Artiodactyla; Bovidae. The record is from RNAcentral.
CCUGAAUUAACAUACCCUCUGUAAUCCUUUCAAACACUGUAUAUAUAACAACAUACACAUACUCUGAACUGGAUCAGAAGUUCAGAUGAUCAGUAACUCUUUUCCAUCCCAUCUCUCUUCUCCACAGGUCCUCAGCACCAAAAAAAAAAAAAAAAAAAAAGGACUCACCUUUAAAAAACAAAUUAAUAAGAGUUUACCAUUAAAGUAAGGAUGAUGAGCAGAGCUGUCAGAGUAACCCAAGAUGUAGAGAAAUUUGGACAUUCAUCCUAAAUCCACAUCCUGAAGGAAUCAAGGCCCUCCUAGAGAGGCUAUAUCUUUGGAUACUUCAAAACCAAUUUGGCAUCUGCUCAUUCUCUGAGUUUCAGGUAAAUGCAAGCAUUAUACAGUUGCCAUGAAAAACUUGUUUAGAUGCAGUUUCCUAACUUCUUCCCUAUCUCAUUCUCUCUCUAGCAAGUGGAAAGAAACUGCUGGAGGAGAUAAGAAAGACAUCACCCUCCUCCAUUUUGCCUUCUCCUCACUCUUCUGUGAGCUCACUCACAAUCCAAACAGGCAGAGAGAGCUAGUAAUGGUUUCUAAGAUGCCAGUUUAGGAAAAUACAGUGACCCUGCUUCGAAUUCAGGAGUGCAUGAACCAUGCUGGUAUUACUCUGUCUCCAGUGACUGGGCACAUGCUGAACACAUAGAAGGCCCUUGAAGGAAUGAUGAGUUGAAAAAAAAUUCACUCCUUUCUUCUAGUGUGAUAGCCACAGCUCUUGGUCAUUCUUCCUCUGAACCAUAUUCAAUAAAGUCUGAUUGUUAAUAACAAGGCAUCAUUAUGCAUUUAUUGUGUGCUAGGUACAAGAUGACCAUUAUUUCAUUUGAUUAUUAAAUCAAUCUCAUGGCACCAGCAUUAUUACCAACAUUUUCAAAUAAAGAGGCUGGAUCUUAGGUCAGUAAUUUUCUCAGGAUAUCAUGGUACUGAAUAGCAAAUCUAGGUCUCUAAGACCUGGGUCUACUUAUUGAGUGCCUGGUAGGAGUGAGGC